UACGGAAGGCAGCAGUGGGGAAUAUUGCACAAUGGGCGAAAGCCUGAUGCAGCUAUGCCGCGUGUAUGAAGAAGGCCUUAGGGUUGUAAAGUACUUUCAUCGGGGAGGAAAAAACAAAACUAAUAAUUUUAUUUCUUGACGUUACCCGAAAAAGAAGCACCGGCUAACUCCGUGCCAGCAGCCGCGGUAAUACGGAGGGUGCUAGCGUUAAUCAGAAUUACUGGGCGUAAAGAGCACGUAGGUGGUUUUUUUAAGUCAGAUGUGAAAUCCCUGGGCUUAACCUAGGAACUGCAUUUUGAAACUGAAAUACUAGAGUAUCGUAGAGGGAGGUAGAAUUCUAGGUGUAGCGGUGAAAUGCGUAGAUAUCUGGAGGAAUACCUGUGGCGAAAGCGGCCUCCUAAACGAAUACUGACACUGAAGGGUGCGAAAAGCGUGGGGAGCAAAACAGGGAUUAGAUACC
This 460-nucleotide ribosomal RNA is filed under the name uncultured bacterium. RNAcentral describes it as "bacterial SSU rRNA". It matches the Rfam family "Bacterial small subunit ribosomal RNA", at positions 340 to 786 of the family's 1533-position model. The record is from RNAcentral.